Molecule: ribosomal RNA, 496 nt
Filed under: uncultured bacterium
Lineage: Bacteria
Description: bacterial SSU rRNA
Rfam family: Bacterial small subunit ribosomal RNA
Source: RNAcentral
AGGACGAACGCUGGCGGCGUGCUUAACACAUGCAAGUCGAACGAAGCUCUCACACUCGAGUUUCGGACAAGAGAGUGAGAUGACUUAGUGGCGGACUGGUGAGUAACGCGUGAGCAACCUGCCCUCCGGUGGGGGACAACAGCUGGAAACGGCUGCUAAUACCGCAUGAUGUGUAUGGACCGCAUGAUCUGUACACCAAAGCUUUAUGUGCCGGAGGAUGGGCUCGCGUCUGAUUAGGUAGUUGGUGGGGUAACGGCCUACCCAAGCCGACGAUCAGUAGCCGGACUGAGAGGUUGAACGGCCACAUUGGGACUGAGAUACGGCCCAGACUCCUACGGGAGGCAGCAGUGGGGAAUAUUGGGCAAUGGACGAAAGUUCCUGACCCAGCAACGCCGCGUGAAGGAAGAAGGUCUUCGGAUUGUAAACUUCUUUGACAGAGGACGAUAAUGACGGUACUCUGAAAACAAGCCACGGCUAACUACGUGCCAGCCGCUGC